UACGGAGGGUGCAAGCGUUAUCCGGAUUCACUGGGUUUAAAGGGUGCGUAGGAGGGUCUGUAAGUCAGCGGUGAAAUCUCCGAGCUUAACUCGGAAACUGCCAUUGAUACUAUAGAUCUUGAAUACCGUGGAGGUGAGCGGAAUAUGUCAUGUAGCGGUGAAAUGCUUAGGUAUGACAUGGAACACCAAUUGCGAAGGCAGCUCACUACACGCAUAUUGACUCUGAGGCACGAAAGCGUGGGGAUCAAACAGG
This 253-nucleotide ribosomal RNA is filed under the name uncultured bacterium. RNAcentral describes it as "partial 16S ribosomal RNA". It matches the Rfam family "Bacterial small subunit ribosomal RNA", at positions 524 to 776 of the family's 1533-position model. The record is from RNAcentral.